This is a long non-coding RNA of Gordionus sp. m RMFG-2023, 629 nucleotides long. RefSeq lists it as uncharacterized. The record is from RefSeq and is a predicted model, not a curated record. Lineage: Eukaryota; Metazoa; Nematomorpha; Gordioida; Chordodea; Parachordodidae. The transcript is spliced from 3 exons.
AUUACUUAUAGAUGACCUCAAGUUUUAUAAUUACAUGCGUAUGAAAAAAAUACCUAGCAACUGGUAAUUCAUAUGUCACCUUGUCAUAUUCUCAUAAACUUGGGGUAUCAACUAUAAAACUAAUAAUAGGAGAAAAUACAAAAGCUAUAUGGGAUAUUAUUCAACCCAUCCAUAUGAAGGUCCCAACAUUGGAGAUGUUUGAGGAGUUGCUAAGGGCUUUGAUGAAAGGUGGAACUUCCCAAACUGUAUAGGUGCCAUUGAUGGGAAACAUUGUAAAACAAAAAAGUCUCCAUAUUCUUGAACCCAAUUUUAUAAUUACAAGCAUGGAUUUUCAAUAAUCCUUCAAGCAUUGGUGGAUCAUAAUGGCAAAUUUAUGGUUAUAGAUGUUGGCACUUAUGGAAGCCAAAAUGAAAGAAAAUUUAAAUAUAAUAAGUUUUGAUCUUGUUGGUUCAAAUUAUCCUUUAUGGAACCAACAGAGUAUUAAAAAUAGUUCUGAUAAAAAUAAAAAUAUAAGAAACUUAUUUAGCAAUUAUUUUAAUAAUAGACAUUUGCCCUGGCAAACUAAUAUAUUAAAUUAAUAUUUAUUUUUUCAAUAUUUUGAUUUUAUAUGUAUUAAAUUUCUUUAUAUU